CGUUUUAAAAAAUAGAUGUAAAUUUCACAUAACGUCUGAUUUACCAUCGUAGACAUUUUUUUGUUUGAUUUGUUUUGUUUUUUGAGACAGGGUCUCACUAUGUAGUUCAGGCUGGCCUGGAACUCAUGGUGAUCCUCCUGCCUCAGCCUCCCAAGUGCUGGGAUGACAGCUGCAGGCCACCAUGCUCCUGGCUGCCUUGGGAAGUUUGAUAGGGGAACAGGGAAGACAGACACAGCUUGUGCUGAAGCAAAUAGUGCCUGCCCCGGUGGGCAUCAAAGUCCUUGUGUACAAGUCCUGAGGCCCAGGGUGGGGGCACUGGGCUCUGGGGACAGCAGGCUGGAAGGGAAAUCACUUGAUUUCCUAUGCUACUUCCCACCUUGCCAGCAGUUUUGCUAAAAUGCCAUAGUCUCAUCUCAAAAGCUCAUCUAUGACAGUUGGUGACUCGGAGGCUCACAGAUGGGAUGCACCCCCUGCCCCAGGGCUGAGCUGGGAAGAGGGAUGGGAAGAUGAAUUGCCGCUGCCUGGAAGGGUUUUCUGGGUGGAAGGGUCCAUCGUGGGGAAAGGCUCAGGGGUCCUCCAUGUCUGGGGAUGGACAGCAGAUGGGCUAGGAAGGCUUGGUGGAGAAUAUGAUGCUGAGGUCCAUGAGGGCUAAUGACAGAGGUUCUUUUGUUAUUAAGCAUCUACUGUGUGCCAGAUCCCAUCCUGGCCCUCCUGAGGCCAAAGUCUAGGAGGAAAGUGAACAAAAAACAAAAAGAACCCCACCUCAUCAAUUCCAGAAUUCAUGAGGUUGUAAUCUAAGUGGUAUUUGGCAAAUCUGGACAUUAUCUUGAGAGCAAUAGGGAGCUGUACAAGGGCUUAGAGUGAGGGGAGGCCUGCUCAGAUUCAGAUGUGAGAAAGAUACCCAGGGCGAACUCCAUGAUGCUGUUGGGGGGGGGGUGUUUGUAAAUUGCCCCACUGGGAGGCUACUUGGGCAAGCUGAUCUUCUUACCAAGUACUGAUUAAGCACCUUGUAUCUACCAAGCAUUGCUUUACCAACCUGUGUUAUGCAAGCAUACAUAAAAUGAUAGAUUUCACUGUUGGGCCAUACUAAGCUACCUUCUGAGGUCUCAUCUCUGCAGUUACAGCACCGGCCUGUGCAUUGCACUCAGGGGACUCGCUUCUCCUGCCACAACUCGUGAGAAGCAGAUGACCAGUACUCGGAGGAGAGUGCUGGCCUAGCACUCUCAAGGGCCUGCGUUCUGUCCCCAGCAUGGAAGAAUAAUAAGGUGGGGACUGGUAACUUGGGGCCCAGAGAGUGCCUGGCUGGAGGGUGCACACCAGAAAUCCAACCGAGACUGCCGGUUGUGGACUAAAAGGAUUCCAUGGACGCAAAAAGGCUAAAAAAUGUAUUAGAUUGAGAUUCAAGGGCCAAGGAUUUAGCUCAGUGGUUCCGCUGCCUGCUGCGCAAGAGCAAGGACCCAAGUUCGAUCCCUGGUACCAAAAAAAAAAAAAAAACGAUUGAGAUUCAAGGUAUCGUGUGUAAUAGAGCAAUCUGAGCUUUUAAAUGUUAUUUAACAUUUUUAAUUGUGUGGCUUUCAAACACAGCAAUCCCAGCUCUGGGGGUCUCUGUAAAAGUAAGUAAAGCUGCCGGAUAAGGUGGUGCAUACCCGUGACCCCAGGACUCUGGGAGGCUGAGGCCGGAGGAUCACAAGUUGGGAGUCCAACCUGGGCUAUUUAGCAAUUUAGCAAGACUCUGGCUCAAAAUAAAAAAUAAGUCGGGCGUGGUGGUGCACGCCUGUAAUUCCAGCAUUUGGGAGGCUGAGGCAGGAGGAUUGGUGCAAGUUCAAGGCCAGCCUGAACUACAUAGUGAGACCUAGUGUGGGGAUCGGUGUCAGCCAAAAAGCUUCAUUUUAAUUUUACCCUCUGUUAUAAAUAGCCAGGAGACUAUGUAAUGGGGAACCAUGUCUCCGCUAACUCCGAUGUUUCCCUUUAGAGAUUGCCCUAGCAACAAGAUGAACCUUCUGUAACCCCAGGAAACAAAGUAGCCCAUGAGGGCGAGGAGUGUCUAGAAAACUAGCAAACAAGGAAGCAGGUGUUUUUUUGUAUAAAGGUCAUGAUUAAUGACCUAACUCACUGAGGGUAUAAAAGAGAGGUGUAAAUAAACUUGCUUGCUCGGUCUUGGGAGCCCUCCCGACUCUGUCUCUUCUCUUGAUUUUUCUCAGUCGUCCUUUCCCCCAUUCAGGAACUGUUCGACUGGUGACUGCUGGUCCGUCACAACCUAGUCUCAAAAAAAUUUUUUUAAUUUAAAAAAAGGGCUUGGCUUGGUGUGUAGCCCAGUGCGAAGGCCCUGGGUUCCAUCCCCAGUCUAAAAAAAAGAAAGAAAAAGCAUGAUGUUUAAGUUCAGAACUAGACCUCUCAGGGUUUGAAACCUAGUCACCACUUUCUUAGCAGUGUGCCUUCAAACCAAUAGUUGACUCCUCUGAGGCUCCGUUUUCCCUUCUAGACAAUGAGACUAACAGACCAAUCGCUUCUCAAGGUUGCUAUGGGGGAGUGCACACGUUAAUAUUUACUGUGAAGCCCUUCCUGCCGGGGAGGAAUCUUUAGAAGAGGGGAGUUCAACCGACUUUUGAAAAUUCAACUUUUCAAAGGAUUCGCCCAAGGCUGCCAGCAGGGGGCAGCAGAGAACCACGCCUGUGCUUCGCCGCGGAGCCUUCGCUCGAAAUGGUCGAGCAUUUAGGGAAUGCCAGUUGUAUCCCGAGCGCUGCGCUGAGGGAUUGGGGAUCUAAGGUACUCUCGUGGUUUCUGUCCUAGAAUUUGCGAAAGGCACCCCGUCCGAACUGUGCAGCUGGUCCCUGAAGCGUGCAGAUUUGUCUGCUACAGCUCCCUCCCCUCUUCCCUCCCGGGGUCGCCUCUGGCCUCGGCCUUCCAGAGGAUGGAAGCCGGGCGCUGGGGUCACAUGGAGGUCGAAAUUGCGCGCAAGCCCCCGGCUUCUGCAUUUGCGGAACGACCCAAGGAUUUUGCGUUCUCUCCCCAAGGCCCUGGUUUCCCUUCUGUAAAAUGGGGCUUAGGGGAGAAUGCGCCGUCCAGAAUUAUUGUGUAGGUCAAAAUUAAUGAAAGUGGACUAAUAUGAAUUCGGGGGCAUCACUCCUAACUUGAGCUUCAAUAAGCACUUAUUAAGCACCUACUGUGUGCUAUUGCAUGCCCUGGGGAUUCAGGGGUACAACUAUCCCUCACCACGCCCCCAAGGGCUUCGCUCCUCCCCAAUCUCCUCUCCCCGACCCCACCAGGCAGUUUCCGGUCCCUCCACUCAGCUCCGCCUACUCUCCACCCCCUCUUUCCAGAGCCUACGGGAGCAAGGUGGAAAGGGUUAUCUACAUAUUCAUGAGUUCAUCAACCAAUCCACAGCCUGAACUCCGGUCUUUAGCGCCUAGGCGAUUGUGAUGUCACAGGGACGCCUCUUGUGAUCCUUAAAGACGCAGUAACCUCUCCCGAAGAAGGAAGGUUGCAACCACAACUGCAGGAUUCGCUUCGGAGUUUGAAGUGUGCUCCGGCCCAGGACCCAGGGGCUUGAGUGCGGAAGAGCAGUGGUCUAGCCCAUCAUAGCCCACCUGGACCUGUCCCCUCGCCUCUGCCCUCGUCUCUGCCCUCGUCUCUGGACUCUCUCCGUCACAACAAAAUCUGCAGAGACAUCACUGGAUCUGUGAUUGAACUCCGGACCUCGCGGUUGUGAGGCAGGCAGCAGAACCACUGAGCUAAAUCCCUGGCCCCACCAAACCAAACUAAACCAAACCACAAUGAAAGAAAGGAAGGAAGGAAGGAAGGAAGAAAAGCUCAAACCAAUGACUCACAGGCAAAUUCCAGCGGUGAGCUGUUUGCACUGCGUUCUUGGUUCCCGGCUAAACCUCUCUGAGCCUCAGCCUCUGUUUCAGAGACCAACUGAGUAUUACCAACCUCAGCUCUUGGGCGGACUGGGGGUGACAGUGUGCCCAGCACACCGUAGGAACUGUACAAGUAGCUCUACUCCUCCCUGCGACCCACGGCAGCUUCUGACCCACACUCAGUGGCCACCAUUGCCUCCCUUCAAGCCAUGAGCUCCGCCCCUCCAGGUCUCUCAAUCCCGGGCUUCGGGCUGAAGUGAGACCAUUGUCCCAGCCAGG
Long non-coding RNA from Heterocephalus glaber (naked mole-rat), 4136 nucleotides. NCBI's taxonomy places the organism in Eukaryota, Metazoa, Chordata, Mammalia, Rodentia, Bathyergidae. The record is from Ensembl.